This is a long non-coding RNA of Fundulus heteroclitus (mummichog), 2404 nucleotides long. RefSeq lists it as uncharacterized. Lineage: Eukaryota; Metazoa; Chordata; Actinopteri; Cyprinodontiformes; Fundulidae. The record is from RefSeq and is a predicted model, not a curated record. The transcript is spliced from 2 exons.
AUCAGACUUUAUUAUUGAACUAAGCAGGAUUUAGACAGGAUUAGAAAGAAAUGUGCAUCUUCUUUUUGCCUUUCCCCAAUGAUCAGGGAUCUCCUGGUUGUGUCUGGUGCUGCAGUGCUCUUAUUGGGUAAAACACCUUUAAAUCUAGUGGCUGAGCACAUAAAAGACAACCUCCUGAUGAUAUAAUAUGCAAAAAACGCCACCGCACGUAUUUUACGCGAGCGCACGUUUUUUACACCAGCUGUGUGAAGCUGACACCCCACCCACGUCAAAAAAUUCAGCAAAUAGUCUGAAUGGUUAGUGCUCCGUUUGUGCAGACAUCCACCCUGAUAAAACAAGGCGGAAGUUUCCCAGACUGGUUCCCAAGUAGCACACGGAAGCAUUCGUUGAUGUACGUCUUCAGAUCAGGGUAAGGAGUGAAGGCCUUCACCAAUGCACCAAGAAUAGCCAGAGAAAAGUCACUCACGGCUUCCUUUGGUACAGCAGCACCCGUACGAAGCCAUUCUGUCAGCCAUGUUGCAAUAGCAUUAAUGUCGUGUCUCUCUGACAGCAUUUGCACAACUGGGACUGAGGAAUUGUCCCCUGUCAGAACGCCCUGAUAAAGGAAGAUGUGGCCAGAUGUACCAUUUGGUCUCACAAGUCUUUUCACAACCGAGCCUGUUGCAUCAAAGCAAACUACAGAGGGGCAUUUUUUGGACAAUGCUCUAUACACAUGGAGCUGAGUUGGACUCCAAUAGUGGCAGAAGAACUUGUCUAGACCAAUGUCUCUUAUACAACCACUGUGAGGUGUGCUAUAUUUUAGCAAUUGCAAAGACAAAAUUGGAUCUUUGUCACCUAAUUCCAAAUCUCUUCUCUCUUGCUUUGCUUUUCGUAGGGUCGCCAAAUUUGGUAGGUGACUUGGCUCAGGAUCUCCAAUAUCCAUCAAAUCUGAUGCCUUCGCUGACCUCCAUACAGCCGGCUCCAUCCUGCCCUCACACAGCUCUUUUGAAAUCUGUGCACGAAGGUCUCCAGACAUGAACCUCUUGGAACGGCCAGUGUGCAGGGAGAUAUCAGUGUCUUCGAUGGAACACUCGAGAACCAUUGGGCUGUUGACUGUUGGUUCUCUGGCACAUGUCAUUUUAACAUGGCCUUGACACUCUUUACAGAAGCCCUUAAUGUCUAUGUAGUUGCUGGUUCUAGAUGAAUAAACUUUUGCUCUCUGGAACACAAAUGUGCAUGUACUUUUAACUUUUUUCCAGAUCAGGUGGUUGAGUACAUGACUCCAAGUGCCUGGCUUCAAAAUCAGAUAUUCCCUUUUGCCGGAUGAUGAAAACUUGUCAUUGUAUUGUACUUUUUCAGGUACAAAUUUCAUCUAUUCCUCAAAAGGGACUUCAAGCUGAAAAACUGAGCAGCUGUCCAGUCCAGGAGAAAUGGAGCCAGAAUCAAACUCUGUGUCCACACUGCUCUCAGGAUCAGUUUCCUGCUCAUUGAUCUCCAAACAUGACCAGAUGUUGUGUCUGUUUAACUUUACAAAAGUGUACAGGGCUUUUGGAGACAUCUUAUUUUCCAGCUGCUGACUUAGUUCUCUCCAAAUAGUGGCAGCUGGAGUGGCUAUUUUGCCAUUUAGAAAGAUGGCCUCUUUUGAAGUGCAGAGAACUGCAAAAAGGGAAUCCCUGUCUACGGAUGGCUGUCGAGGCAUCUAGUUAAAGAAUAAAAAGACUGAUUAGCAUUAAAUCAAACAUGCUGGCCUAUAAUAUCUGUCAUGCCAUGAAAAAUUAAUAUUAUAGAAUUGUUACAACUCGAAACCUUAGUCGUCUUACGUAAUUCUAGAUGGCAUUUAUGCAUUUUUACUACUUGUUAAUGUUCAAUUAAAGUAUCAGUUCAACUUUAAAAAUGUGUCUUAGCUCUGGAGUCUACAGAUGUGCCUAAUCACCUAAUCAUUGUGAAGCCUUGCAGAAUGUUUCAAGAAAUUCAAGUCUGGACUUAAAAUGUAAUUGAAUUGUGGAUUUCCAGAAAUAUGCAUUGCAGUGUAUGAAAUUAACUUCCUGAUCCCCUGGCCAAGUUAGCUAAAUAUGACAUAGUUGUCAUGUGCAAGUGUGACUAAAAAUAACUUAUUUGGUGCUAGGAUUUACUCCCAUGUGGCAGCUAGCCCUGUAUGUAUGGCAUUUAACCAAGAAUAUCCCACUAUUUAUUCUCUUACCUUGUUCCAAAAAUCUCAUUUGACAGAUGUCCAAAAAAUUCCAAGAAUGUCAAUUUUAAGCCAAAAAAUAAAUAAAUAAGACUAUUCAAAGUUUUAAAGGCUAAUGCUCUUGCCGCCUAGACAAGAUCACUGGCUCACUGGGUGGCGUCACUCCCUAUGGCAUUGCGUGAGAACUUCAUAUAUAAACUUGCAGAAUCUUAAAAAAAAAAAAAAAAAAAAAAAAAA